GGAGGAUCCAAGCGUUAUCCGGAAUCAUUGGGUUUAAAGGGUCCGUAGGCGGUCUGGUAAGUCAGUGGUGAAAGCCCAUCGCUCAACGGUGGAACGGCCAUUGAUACUGCCAGACUUGAAUUAUCAGGAAGUAACUAGAAUAUGUAGUGUAGCGGUGAAAUGCUUAGAGAUUACAUGGAAUACCAAUUGCGAAGACAGGUUACUACUGGUGGAUUGACGCUGAUGGACGAAAGCGUGGGUAGCGAACAGGAUUAGAUACCCUGGUAGUCCACGCCGUAAACGAUGGAUACUAGCUGUUGGGGGCAACUUCAGUGGCUAAGCGAAAGUGAUAAGUAUCCCACCUGGGGAGUACGUUCGCAAGAAUG
Molecule: ribosomal RNA, 365 nt
Filed under: uncultured bacterium
Lineage: Bacteria
Description: bacterial SSU rRNA
Rfam family: Bacterial small subunit ribosomal RNA
Source: RNAcentral